Molecule: ribosomal RNA, 50 nt
Filed under: Inocybe sp. NC-7282/1
Lineage: Eukaryota; Fungi; Basidiomycota; Agaricomycetes; Agaricales; Inocybaceae
Description: partial 28S ribosomal RNA
Source: RNAcentral
UUGACCUCAAAUCAGGUAGGACUACCCGCUGAACUUAACAUUUUUAAGCG